AACGCAUAUGGCACCUUUUGGUUCUUACUAAAAGGUAUGCCUGUUUGAGAAUCAUCUUCUACAUUCCACUCUUGGACACGUUUGAUUGACGGGUCAGAUCUCAAUGGGUCAGCUCUCAAUUAGUUGACGGGUCAGAUCUCAAUGGGUCAGCUUUCAAUUGAAUGAAUGACCAGGAGUGCGACACAUGGACCUUCACCACUGAUCGUCUUGAAUUCAUGCACGGGGCUGUUCGUGGUAUACAGGGGCGUGUGGGGGCGUGUGCAUCCACAGUGCAUGUGCUCCCCUGCUUUGCUUGUGAUCGAGCGGUCCCGGUUCCUUUAUGCAGUGAUCUCAAAUCAGGCAAGACUACCCGCUGAACUUAA
RNAcentral lists this unclassified non-coding RNA (362 nucleotides) under uncultured fungus. RNAcentral's name for it is "partial contains 5.8S ribosomal RNA, internal transcribed spacer 2, and large subunit ribosomal RNA". Lineage: Eukaryota; Fungi. The record is from RNAcentral.